RNAcentral lists this non-coding RNA (113 nucleotides) under Rhodococcoides kyotonense. Its description in RNAcentral is "Rhodococcus kyotonensis TPP sequence". It matches the Rfam family "TPP riboswitch aptamer (THI element)". From Rfam's summary of the family: Vitamin B(1) in its active form thiamin pyrophosphate (TPP) is an essential coenzyme that is synthesised by coupling of pyrimidine and thiazole moieties in bacteria. The previously detected thiamin-regulatory element, thi box was extended, resulting in a new, highly conserved RNA secondary structure, the THI element, which is widely distributed in eubacteria and also occurs in some archaea. The record is from Rfam by way of RNAcentral. Lineage: Bacteria; Bacillati; Actinomycetota; Actinomycetes; Mycobacteriales; Nocardiaceae.
ACGUAGAUACACGGGAGUCCUGGGGUUCGCAGGGCUGAGAGUGGACACGCCGGUCCUUACCGUCAAUACCUGAACCGGAUCAUGCCGGCGCAGGGAGUGAGGUGGAACAGAAU